RNAcentral lists this ribosomal RNA (440 nucleotides) under uncultured bacterium. RNAcentral's name for it is "partial 16S ribosomal RNA". It matches the Rfam family "Bacterial small subunit ribosomal RNA", at positions 338 to 795 of the family's 1533-position model. The record is from RNAcentral.
CCUACGGGAGGCAGCAGUAGGGAAUAUUGCUCAAUGGGGGAAACCCUGAAGCAGCAACGCCGCGUGGCGGAUGAAGGUUUUCGGAUUGUAAACUCCUUUUGUUAGAGAAGAUAAUGACGGUAUCUAACGAAUAAGCACCGGCUAACUCCGUGCCAGCAGCCGCGGUAAUACGGAGGGUGCAAGCGUUACUCGGAAUCACUGGGCGGAAAGAGCGCGUAGGCGGGAUAGCAAGUCAGAUGUGAAAUUCUAUGGCUUAACCAUAGAACUGCAUUUGAAACUGUUAUUCUAGAGUAUGGGAGAGGUAGGUGGAAUUCUUGGUGUAGGGGUAAAAUCCGUAGAGAUCAAGAGGAAUACUCAUUGCGAAGGCGACCUGCUAGAACAUAACUGACGCUGAUGCGCGAAAGCGUGGGGAGCAAACAGGAUUAGAUACCCGAGUAGUC